UGGGGGAUAUUGCACAAUGGGCGAAAGCCUGAUGCAGCGACGCCGCGUGGGGGAUGAAGGCUUUCGGGUUGUAAACCUCUUUCGCUAUCGAACAAGGCCCGCUUAGGGUGGGUUGAGGGUAGGUGGAGAAGAAGCGCCGGCUAACUACGUGCCAGCAGCCGCGGUAAUACGUAGGGCGCGAGCGUUGUCCGGAAUUAUUGGGCGUAAAGGGCUUGUAGGCGGCUUGUUGCGCCUGCUGUGAAAACGCGGGGCUUAACUUCGCGCGUGCAGUGGGUACGGGCAGGCUUGAGUGUGGUAGGGGUGACUGGAAUUCCAGGUGUAGCGGUGGAAUGCGCAGAUAUCUGGAGGAACACCGAUGGCGAAGGCAGGUCACUGGGCCAUUACUGACGCUGAGGAGCGAAAGCAUGGAUAGCGAACAGG
This 420-nucleotide ribosomal RNA is filed under the name bacterium. RNAcentral's name for it is "partial 16S ribosomal RNA". It matches the Rfam family "Bacterial small subunit ribosomal RNA", at positions 355 to 776 of the family's 1533-position model. The record is from RNAcentral.